Molecule: long non-coding RNA, 1074 nt
Filed under: Olea europaea subsp. europaea
Lineage: Eukaryota; Viridiplantae; Streptophyta; Magnoliopsida; Lamiales; Oleaceae
Source: RNAcentral
AGGAAGAAGAUGAAAACGAAAGGUUUGGAAUCAUAGCUGCAAUUAUUUCUUUUUAAUUAUGGCCCCCUUCAAGUGGAUUUAACGACUACAUUAAUGGACUUGCACAUCAUGAGAUAUUCUGCACUUGAAAGGUCAUAUAGGGGAUUUUCACGAAUCUAAAACGAUAUGAUAUAUUUUGCAAUAUAGACAAAGGUUAGGGAUUUUGAGCCAAUAACCCCUAUUUUUUCGUUUGGUAAGACAAUUUUUUUUAAAUCUAUUUCUUUAUAAAAUUAGUGAAAAAGUAUUAUCUGUAGGUAAUCAUUUAUCAAUAUUUUUAAUUGUUUAAAAAAUUUAGGGAUAGAAAUAUUUUGUUUAAUUGUUAUUCUUUAUCUUACCAACGUAAUCAGCCAUAUAGUUAAAAUCACCUCGAACAAUCUGUGGACUGUUCAAUUGGAAAAUAUAAAGUAAAUCCUUGUACCGAUCAACUAGACAACAAUUACUACAAAUUUCAUUCUACUUCGUGAAACGAUUUAUAUUGAAAUUUGGCAACUCUAAGCCCACCCCUCCUUUUCUCCCUACUUAGGUGUGUCAAUUGUUCAAUUUCUAGGAACAGUCAUUGUCGGUCAAAUUGAUUCUUAUGCAUCAAAUUCACCUCAGGAGCUUUUUCCCCUUUACGAAAGUUCACUCGGCUCACGGUUGUUUUCUUCGAUCCCUUAUCUACAUAAUUUUUCUCCAUUUUUAUCUGUCAACUAUUUGAUAUUUUUUAUAGGUUGACUAGAAGAUAGAACACCUAGGAUAAAUUUCAAUCUUACACGCAGAAUAUGGAGUUUGGAAAUGUUAUAUUCGGAUAAUAUAUUACUGUUUGAUAUCAAAAUUAUUAUUUUCUGGUGCAGAUAACUUAGCCUCUAAGUUUCAAUUUCAGUUCUUCCUUUCUUUAUCUUCAAAUUCAAUCUUGAGUACAUAUUUUGUUGUAUAGUAUAAGUGCAUUUUGUGCACUUGAUUGGGUCAUAUUAUUAACUUUUAUGUUGUCAAAUUAUUGAAUUUUACUUAACUUUGAUUAAUUUUCUCUUGUUUCGGUUAUGGACCCAUUUCUAA